AUGGAAACUUCGACAAAGACAAAGACACUUUGAACUAUAAUCUGGUCGACCCUCCUCUAAUGGGUUUAUUGCAGUUCCAAGAAAUGGUUGGACAGCAAUCAGAUUCAAGGCAAAUAAUCCAGGAGUUUGGUUUAUGCAUUGCCAUUUUGAGCGUCAUAUAAGUUGGGGAAUGGGAAUGGCAUUCAUUGUUCGAAAUGGCAAGAGCCGACAUGCUAAAAUACUGCCUCCACCUCCAGACAUGCCAAGGUGUUAAUGCUGAACAAAAUGGAUAUCUCUUGUGUAUGUGAUUUAAUACUAGUGUGUGCUUUUGUUGCAACUUUGUUAGUGUGCUUCCUUUUUUGUAAUCUGAAAUUAUAAUUCGUUUGAGAAUAAUUUGUAAACGAUUUAAUUUAUAAAUAAGUUAAAAAUAAAAUAUUAUCUAAAUUUUGUUCAACGUGUUAGAAUCAUAUUAAGGAAUUGAACUAUGGUUGACUUUUAUAACAUAGUUUAUGAUCGAUAUUUCAGUUAACGAGUUGAAUAGAUUUUGUUAGGUUUAGAUGUUAGUCGUGC
This 549-nucleotide long non-coding RNA is filed under the name Olea europaea subsp. europaea. The record is from RNAcentral. Lineage: Eukaryota; Viridiplantae; Streptophyta; Magnoliopsida; Lamiales; Oleaceae.